ACUUACUGACAAAGUAUAUGGCUCACAUAAAUAUGGAAUGAUGCAAUCAAUCCAGAUCCAUAAAAUAUCUUUUCAAGUAUGUGAAUAAAGGUCAUGAUAGAGUCACUGUAGCCUUUUAUGAUGGUACAGAGAAUUCAGGAUCUGAAUAAUGCAGCGAUGAAAUCAAAAUAUUCUAUGAUUGUAGGUACUUAUCUCCAUGCG
This 201-nucleotide long non-coding RNA is filed under the name Elaeis guineensis (African oil palm). Its description in RNAcentral is "long non-coding RNA (EGUI_LNC076729)". The record is from RNAcentral. Lineage: Eukaryota; Viridiplantae; Streptophyta; Magnoliopsida; Arecales; Arecaceae.